Molecule: transfer RNA, 66 nt
Filed under: Telenomus remus
Lineage: Eukaryota; Metazoa; Arthropoda; Insecta; Hymenoptera; Scelionidae
Description: tRNA-Tyr
Source: RNAcentral
AGUAAAAUGUCUGAUAAAAGUAAUAAAUUGUAAAUUUAUUCAUGAAAUAAAAAAUUUCUUUUACUA